AGCGAACGCUGGCGGCAGGCCUAACACAUGCAAGUCGAACGAACUCUUCGGAGUUAGUGGCGGACGGGUGAGUAACACGUGGGAACGUGCCUUUUGGUUCGGAAUAACUCAGGGAAACUUGUGCUAAUACCGAAUGUGCCCUUCGGGGGAAAGAUUUAUCGCCAUUAGAGCGGCCCGCGUCGGAUUAGCUAGUUGGUGAGGUAACGGCUCACCAAGGCGACGAUCAGUAGCUGGUCUGAGAGGAUGACCAGCCACACUGGGACUGAGACACGGCCCAGACUCCUACGGGAGGCAGCAGUGGGGAAUCUUGCGCAAUGGGCGAAAGCCUGACGCAGCCAUGCCGCGUGAAUGAUGAAGGUCUUAGGAUUGUAAAAUUCUUUCACCGGGGACGAUAAUGACGGUACCCGGAGAAGAAGCCCCGGCUAACUUCGUG
This 433-nucleotide ribosomal RNA is filed under the name uncultured bacterium. Its description in RNAcentral is "partial 16S ribosomal RNA". It matches the Rfam family "Bacterial small subunit ribosomal RNA", at positions 29 to 507 of the family's 1533-position model. The record is from RNAcentral.